AUGCCUAGAUCCCGUGUAAAUGGAAAUUUCAUUGAUAAGACCUCCUCAAUAAAUUAUUGGAGCUAUCGUUUUCCUCUAGCAUUAAUAGAAUUCAUUGGUGUUAAGAAAAACCUCUUGUGGGAAGGAAAUUAUGCGGAAGCUUUGCAAAAUUAUUAUGAAGCUACGCGACUAGAAAUCGAUCCCUAUGAUCGAAGUUAUAUACUCUAUAACAUAGGCCUUAUACACACAAGCAAUGGAGAGCAUACAAAGGCUUUGGAAUAUUAUUUCCGGGCACUAGAACGAAACCCCUUCUUACCGCAAGCUUUUAAUAAUAUGGCCGUGAUCUGUCAUUACGCCAUUCUAGAGGGUGAUUCAGAAAUUGCGGAAGCUUGGUUUGAUCAAGCUGCUGAAUAUUGGAAACAAGCUAUAGCGCUUACUCCGGGAAAUUAUAUUGAAGCACAGAACUGGUUGAAGAUUACGAAGCGCUUUGAAUUUGAAUAA
This 480-nucleotide ribosomal RNA is filed under the name Triticum aestivum (bread wheat). RNAcentral's name for it is "partial small subunit ribosomal RNA". Lineage: Eukaryota; Viridiplantae; Streptophyta; Magnoliopsida; Poales; Poaceae. The record is from RNAcentral.